UAGAGUUUGAUCCUGGCUCAGAACGAACGCUGGCGGCGUGCCUAACACAUGCAAGUCGAACGGUAACAGGAACUUCGGUUCGCUGACGAGUGGCGCACGGGUGAGUAACGCGUGGGUAUAUGCCUAUCAGUGGGGGACAACUUCGGGAAACCGGAGCUAAUACCGCAUACGAUCCAAGGAUGAAAGCGGGGGCUCUUUUAGACCUCGCGCUGAUAGAUUGGCCCGCGUCUGAUUAGCUAGUUGGUAAGGUAAUGGCUUACCAAGGCGAUGAUCAGUAGCUGGUUUGAGAGGAUGAUCAGCCACACUGGAACUGAGACACGGUCCAGACUCCUACGGGAGGCAGCAGUGGGGAAUUUUGCACAAUGGGGGAAACCCUGAUGCAGCGACGCCGCGUGCGGGAAGAAGGCCUUCGGGUUGUAAACCGCUUUCAGCAGGGAAGAAGGGAUGAGGGUUAAUACCCCUCUGACUUGACGGUACCUGCACAAGAAGCUCCGGCUAAUUUCGUGCCAGCAGCCGCGGUAAUACGAAAGGGGCAAGCGUUGUUCGGAUUUACUGGGCGUAAAGAGAUCGUAGGUGGUUUGUUAAGUCGGAUGUGAAAUCCCGGGGCUCAACCUCGGAACUGCAUUCGAUACUGGCAGACUGGAGUUCGGGAGGGGUAAGCGGAAUUCCGUGUGUAGCAGUGAAAUGCGUAGAUAUACGGAGGAACACCUGAGGCGAAGGCGGCUUACUGGACCGAUACUGACACUGAGGAUCGAAAGCGUGGGUAGCAAACAGGAUUAGAUACCCUGGUAGUCCACGCCCUAAACGAUGUCUACUAGCCAUUGCGGGUAUCGACCCCUGCAGUGGCGCAGCUAACGCGAUAAGCAGACCGCCUGGGGAGUACGGUCGCAAGAUUAAAACUCAAAGGAAUUGACGGGGGCCCGCACAAGCGGCGGAGCAUGUGGUUUAAUUCGAUGCAACGCGAGAACCUUACCUGGGUUUGACAUCCUUGGAAUUCUCUAGAGAUAGAGAAGUGCCUUCGGGAG
Molecule: ribosomal RNA, 1025 nt
Filed under: uncultured Zetaproteobacteria bacterium
Lineage: Bacteria; Pseudomonadati; Pseudomonadota; Candidatius Mariprofundia
Description: bacterial SSU rRNA
Rfam family: Bacterial small subunit ribosomal RNA
Source: RNAcentral